CCUACGGGAGGCAGCAGUAGGGAAUCUUUCACAAUGGGCGAAAGCCUGAUGGAGCAACGCCGCGUGCAGGAUGACGGCCUUCGGGUUGUAAACUGCUUUUAUAAGCGAGAAAUAUGAUGGUAACUUAUGAAUAAGGACCGGCUAACUACGUGCCAGCAGCCGCGGUAAU
RNAcentral lists this ribosomal RNA (169 nucleotides) under uncultured bacterium. RNAcentral's name for it is "partial 16S ribosomal RNA". It matches the Rfam family "Bacterial small subunit ribosomal RNA", at positions 338 to 524 of the family's 1533-position model. The record is from RNAcentral.